This 520-nucleotide ribosomal RNA is filed under the name uncultured bacterium. RNAcentral's name for it is "bacterial SSU rRNA". It matches the Rfam family "Bacterial small subunit ribosomal RNA", at positions 8 to 518 of the family's 1533-position model. The record is from RNAcentral.
AGAGUUGAUCAUGGCUCAGGAUGAACGCUAGCGAUAGGCCUAACACAUGCAAGUCGAGGGGCAGCACAUGAGUAGCAAUACGAUGGUGGCGACCGGCGCACGGGUGAGUAACACGUAUGCAACCUACCUUUAACAGGGGAAUAACCCGUUAGAAAAACGGACUAAUACUCCAUAACACAGGGGUCCCGCAUGGGAAUAUUUGUUAAAGAUUUAUCGGUUGAAGAUGGGCAUGCGUUCCAUUAGCUUGUUGGUGAGGUAACGGCUCACCAAGGCUACGAUGGAUAGGGGAACUGAGAGGUUUAUCCCCCACACUGGAACUGAGACACGGUCCAGACUCCUACGGGAGGCAGCAGUGAGGAAUAUUGGUCAAUGGAGGCAACUCUGAACCAGCCAAGUCGCGUGAAGGAAUGAAGGUCUUAUGGAUUGUAAACUUCUUUUGCAAGGGAAUAAAGUGGGGGACGUGUCCUCCUUUGCAUGUACCUUGCGAAUAAGGAUCGGCUAACUCCGUGCCAGCAGCAGC